UUUUCUCACAUUUUUGGCCCCUAAAGCUAGUGAUCUUAACAACUUUUGCUACUUUAUUUCUAUGAUUGUUAAUUUUAAAUUAAUUUUUUUUUGUCUUUGGUUUGAAUGGGACGAAAUAGAGUGCAUUGAUAAAAAGUACAAUAUGUUGCACCACCUCAAAUAAAUGUUUCUUAAUGGUUUUUCAACACUGUUUUUGUUGUUUUUAGACGCCUAGAGGACUGCAAUGAUAUUGUAAGCCACUUUAUUGAGUGGAUAUAUGUUGACUUUUACAAAAGGAUCACCGCUGUGAAAUUGGGAGGAGGUACUAUCUUUUCUUCGAUUUUUGUACUUAAGUAACUGAAUCAGGGAAUCUUAGGGGGUGAGGGAGUUCCUCCUAUGUUAAUAGGUAGG
Long non-coding RNA from Humulus lupulus (European hop), 390 nucleotides. RefSeq lists it as uncharacterized. The record is from RefSeq and is a predicted model, not a curated record. Lineage: Eukaryota; Viridiplantae; Streptophyta; Magnoliopsida; Rosales; Cannabaceae. The transcript has 3 exons.